AUUAGAGUGGCGCAGUGGAAGUGUGGUGGGCCCAUAACCCAUAGAUCCUAAGAUCAAAACUUGGCUCUGAUA
This 72-nucleotide transfer RNA is filed under the name Ipomoea nil (Japanese morning glory). It matches the Rfam family "tRNA". From Rfam's summary of the family: Transfer RNA (tRNA) molecules are approximately 80 nucleotides in length. Their secondary structure includes four short double-helical elements and three loops (D, anti-codon, and T loops). Lineage: Eukaryota; Viridiplantae; Streptophyta; Magnoliopsida; Solanales; Convolvulaceae. The record is from Rfam by way of RNAcentral.